GCCAUUGCACCCUGCGUUGUAAGUAGCAGGCCCACCAAACAUUAAGGGCGAAAGCCUAGGGGCAGAUGGCGCUGCCGUCCUCUCUCACUCUCUCGCUACAAUUAAAUCAGAUAUAACUCAUUGGAUCUCUGCUGAACCGCAUUACUUGGAUAACUGUGGUAAUUCUAGAGCUAAUACAUGCCUUUGUAGUCUCCGACCGCGAGGGAGGAGCGCUUUUAUUAGACCAAAACCCUCGGCAGCCGGUUCCCGCAAGGGGCCGGCCGCACACAUCUUGGUGAAUCAGAAUAACUUUUGCCGAGCGCACGACCCCUCCCGUAACCCGGGUUGGGUCGGCGCCGCGUCCUGCAGGCGUCUGCCUUAUCAGCUCUCGAUUGUAGGUUAAACGCCUACAAUGGCUAUCACGGGUAACGGGGAAUCAGGGUUCGAUUCCGGAGAGGGAGCCUGAGAAACGGCUACCACAUCUAAGGAAGGCAGCAGGCGCGCAAAUUACCCACUCCCGGCACGGGGAGGUAGUGACGAAAAAUACUGUUGCGAGCCCCGAACGGGGCCUCGCAAUUGGAAUGAGUACACUUUAAAUCCUUGUACGAGGAUCGAGUGGAGGGCAAGUCUGGUGCCAGCCGCCGCGGUAAUUCCAGCUCCACUAGCGUAUAUUAAAGUUGUUGCGGUUGAAACGCUCGUAGUUUGACUUCUGCUCCGGACCGGCGGUCCGCCUUAGCGGCGGCUACUGCCGGGUUCCGAGCUGUGUCCCCGCCGGCGCACAUGGGGUUUUUAUGCCCUUAACCGGGUGUCCCCUUGUGGCCGGCACGUUUACUUUGAAAAAAUUAGAGUGCUCAGAGCAGGCUGGUUUUUGCUUACAGCCCGAAUGGUCGUGCAUGGAAUGAUGGAACAGGACCUCGGUUCUAUUUUGUCGGUUUUUCGGAACCCGAGGUAAUGAUUAAUAGAAGCAGGGGGGCAUGUUAUGAAAAGACAAGACCUGCCGAAGGCGAAACGAGCGUUCUGGGGUCCAUUUCCGUUCAUACUCGCCCUCGAACGCUAGAGGAAUUCGACAGACGUCGCAUGCGACGCUAGAGGUGAAAUUCUUAGACCGUCGCAUGACGACCUACUGCGAAAGCAUCUGCCAAGGAUGUUUUCAUUGAUCAAGAACGAAAGUUAGAGGUUCGAAGGCGAUCAGAUACCGCCCUAGUUCUAACCUUAAACGAUGCUGACUAGCGAUCCGCCGCAGUUAUUCCCAUGACCCGGCGGGUAGCUUCCGGGAAACCAAAGUCUUUGAGUUCCGGGGGAAGUAUGGUUGCAAAGCUGAAACUUAAAGGAAUUGACGGAAGGGCACCACCAGGAGUGGAGCCUGCGGCUCAAUUUGACUCAACACGGGGAAACUCACCAGGCCAGGACACCGGAAGGAUUGACAGAAUGAAGGCUCUUUCUCGAUUCGGUGGGUGGUGGUGCAUGGCCGUUCUUAGUUGGUGGAGUGAUCUGUCUGGUUAAUUCCGAUAACGAACGAGACUCUAGCCUGCUAAAUAGUCGACGGAUCUCAACCCCGUUGCCCCCGUUGUCGUUCGCGGCGAUGCGGGGCGCGGGUUCCCCGAAACCCGGUCGUCGUGCGGGCCUCCACCGUCGGUCGGUUAGCGCCGCCGGCGGCGCGCCCCGCGGCGCCGGAAACUGGCGUCCGCUUCGCAGUCUUCUUCUUAGAGGGAUAAGCGGCAGCAAAAAAUAUACUAGCCGCACGAGAGUUUGAGCCAUAACAGGUCUGUGAUGCCCUUAGAUGUUCUGGGCCGCACGCGCGCUACAAUGGAGAGUUCAGCGAGCUGGCCCUGCUCCGAGAGGAGCGGGUAACCUCGUGAAAGCUGUCCUUAAAGGGGAUUGGGGCUUGCAAAUGUUCCCCAUGAACGAGGAAUUCCCAGUAGGCGCAAUUCACCAGAUUGCGCCGAUUUAGUCCCUGCCCUUUGUACACACCGCCCGUCGCUACUACCGAUUGAAUGGUCUAGUGAGGGCACCGGACUGGCGCCCUUGGAGCCGCUACCGCCUCGGCGGGCAGCGCCCUCGGGUCGACGGAAAGGUGUCCAAGCUGGGUCAUUUAGAGGAAGUAAAAGUCGUAACAAGGUUUCCGUAGGUGAACCUGCGGAAG
This 2122-nucleotide ribosomal RNA is filed under the name Penaeus vannamei (Pacific white shrimp). RNAcentral's name for it is "SSU rRNA". It matches the Rfam family "Eukaryotic small subunit ribosomal RNA". The record is from RNAcentral. Lineage: Eukaryota; Metazoa; Arthropoda; Malacostraca; Decapoda; Penaeidae.